UGCAGUCGACGGUGAGGUCAAGCUUGCUUGACUUGAUCAGUGGCGAACGGGUGAGUAACACGUGAGUAACCUGCCCCAGACUCUGGGAUAACUUCGGGAAACCGUGGCUAAUACCGGAUAUGACACCAACUCGCAUGGGUAUGGUGUGGAAAGUUUUUCGGUCUGGGAUGGACUCGCGGCCUAUCAGCUUGUUGGUGAGGUAGUGGCUCACCAAGGCGACGACGGGUAGCCGGCCUGAGAGGGCGAUCGGCCACACUGGGACUGAGACACGGCCCAGACUCCUACGGGAGGCAGCAGUGGGGAAUAUUGCACAAUGGGCGGAAGCCUGAUGCAGCGACGCCGCGUGAGGGAUGAAGGCCUUCGGGUUGUAAACCUCUUUCAGCAGGGAAGAAGCGAAAGUGACGGUACCUGCAGAAGAAGCACCGGCUAACUACGUGCCAGCAGCCGCGGUAAUACGUAGGGUGCGAGCGUUGUCCGGAAUUAUUGGGCGUAAAGAGCUUGUAGGUGGUUUGUCGCGUCUGCUGUGAAAAUCCGAGGCUCAACCUCGGACUUGCAGUGGGUACGGGCAGACUAGAGUGUGGUAGGGGAGACUGGAAUUCCUGGUGUAGCGGUGGAAUGCGCAGAUAUCAGGAGGAACACCGAUGGCGAAGGCAGGUCUCUGGGCCAUUACUGACACUGAGAAGCGAAAGCAUGNGGAGCGAACAGGAUUAGAUACCCUGGUAGUCCAUGCCGUAAACGGUGGGAACUAGGUGUGGGUCUCAUUCCACGAGAUCCGUGCCGCAGCUAACGCAUU
This 793-nucleotide ribosomal RNA is filed under the name Terrabacter sp. RODV3. RNAcentral describes it as "bacterial SSU rRNA". It matches the Rfam family "Bacterial small subunit ribosomal RNA", at positions 56 to 861 of the family's 1533-position model. Lineage: Bacteria; Bacillati; Actinomycetota; Actinomycetes; Micrococcales; Intrasporangiaceae. The record is from RNAcentral.